AACCCAUGAUUUGGGCAUUUUCUCAAUAAAGACUUAUAUCUCUCUCAGGCUUCACAUAGAGGUUCAUCAAUGCCUUGAGAGAAAGUUGCAAUAGCUUAUUUGACACU
Molecule: small nucleolar RNA, 107 nt
Filed under: Cajanus cajan (pigeon pea)
Lineage: Eukaryota; Viridiplantae; Streptophyta; Magnoliopsida; Fabales; Fabaceae
Description: Plant small nucleolar RNA R71
Rfam family: Plant small nucleolar RNA R71
About the family: R71 is a member of the C/D box family of snoRNAs containing the C (UGAUGA) and D (CUGA) box motifs.
Source: Rfam by way of RNAcentral